RNAcentral lists this ribosomal RNA (254 nucleotides) under uncultured bacterium. RNAcentral's name for it is "partial 16S ribosomal RNA". It matches the Rfam family "Bacterial small subunit ribosomal RNA", at positions 524 to 776 of the family's 1533-position model. The record is from RNAcentral.
UACAGAGGGUGCGAGCGUUAAUCGGAAUUACUGGGCGUAAAGCGUGCGUAGACGGCUAUCUAAGUCGGGUGUGAAAGCCCCGGGCUCAACCUGGGAAUUGCAUUCGAGACUGAAUAGCUAGGGUACGGUAGAGGGAAGUGGAAUUUCCGGUGUAGCGGUGAAAUGCGUAGAUAUCGGAAGGAACACCCAGGGGGAAACCAGCCGGACUGGGCAAGUGCUGACGCUGAGGUGCGAGAGCGUGGGGAGCGAACCGG